This 82-nucleotide transfer RNA is filed under the name Candidatus Woesebacteria bacterium. Its description in RNAcentral is "tRNA-Leu". It matches the Rfam family "tRNA". From Rfam's summary of the family: Transfer RNA (tRNA) molecules are approximately 80 nucleotides in length. Their secondary structure includes four short double-helical elements and three loops (D, anti-codon, and T loops). Further hydrogen bonds mediate the characteristic L-shaped molecular structure. tRNAs have two regions of fundamental functional importance: the anti-codon, which is responsible for specific mRNA codon recognition, and the 3' end, to which the tRNAs corresponding amino acid is attached (by aminoacyl-tRNA synthetases). tRNAs cope with the degeneracy of the genetic code in two manners: having more than one tRNA (with a specific anti-codon) for a particular amino acid; and 'wobble' base-pairing, i.e. permitting non-standard base-pairing at the 3rd anti-codon position. Lineage: Bacteria; Candidatus Woeseibacteriota. The record is from RNAcentral.
GCGAGCGUGGCGAAACUGGUAGACGCGCAGUCUUGAGGUGGCUGUGCCGUAAGGCUUGGAGGUUCAAGUCCUCUCGCUCGCA